RNAcentral lists this transfer RNA (87 nucleotides) under Candidatus Dojkabacteria bacterium. Its description in RNAcentral is "tRNA-Ser". It matches the Rfam family "tRNA". From Rfam's summary of the family: Transfer RNA (tRNA) molecules are approximately 80 nucleotides in length. Their secondary structure includes four short double-helical elements and three loops (D, anti-codon, and T loops). The record is from RNAcentral.
GGAAGGUUGCCGGAGCGGUCUAACGGCCAGGUCUCGAAAACCUUGGGGUGCGCAAGCGCCACGGGGGUUCAAAUCCCCCACCUUCCG